CUGCUGAACCACAACCACAGCCCCCUUCACUUAUUCUUUAAUGCUCUUUCUUCUUCCCUCCCCACAUCCCAGGGAUGCUUUACCACUGAGCUACAUUCCCAUCCCGUUUUAAUUUUUGAGACAGGGUCUUGCUAAAAUGUUCAGACUGUUCUUCAACUUUUGAUCCUGCUUCGUCUUCCUAAGUCACUGGGAUUAUAGGCAUGCACCAUUGUCCCAGCUUCUUCACUUUUGAAGGAUAAUUUUUCAGGAUACAUAAUUCUAGAUUGGUAGGUUUUUCUCCCAACAUUUUUUUUAAGUAUCAAAGAUUUCUUUUUUUUUUAAAUUUUUUUUUUAGUUGUUCAUAGGCCCUUAUUUUAUUUAUAUGUGGUGCUGAGAAUCGAACCCAGUGCAUCACACAUGCCAGGCAAGUGUGCUACUGCUGAGCCAUAGCCCCAGCCCCUCUCCCAACAUUUUAAACAAGUCACCUCAUUCUCUUUUUACUUUCUUUCUUUCUUUUUUUAGUUGGACACAAUAUAUUUUGUUUUUAUGUGGUGCUGAGAAUUGAACCCAGUGCCUCACGCAUGCUAGGCGAGUGUGCCACCACUUGAGCCACAUCCCCAGCCCCCCUCUUUUUACUUUCUUGAUUUAUGAAGAGAAGCUGGAUAAUUUUUUUUUAAGAGAGAGAGAAAGGGAGGGAGGGAAGGAGGGAGGGGGAGGGAGAAUUUUGAUAUUUAUUUAUUUUUUAGUUUUCGGUGGACACAACAUCUUUUGUUUGUAUGUGGUGCUGAGGAUCGAACCCAGGCCGCAUGCAUGCCAGGCGAGC
RNAcentral lists this long non-coding RNA (802 nucleotides) under Marmota monax (woodchuck). The record is from RNAcentral. Lineage: Eukaryota; Metazoa; Chordata; Mammalia; Rodentia; Sciuridae.